This 71-nucleotide transfer RNA is filed under the name Cordylochernes scorpioides. RNAcentral's name for it is "tRNA-Gly". It matches the Rfam family "tRNA". From Rfam's summary of the family: Transfer RNA (tRNA) molecules are approximately 80 nucleotides in length. Their secondary structure includes four short double-helical elements and three loops (D, anti-codon, and T loops). Lineage: Eukaryota; Metazoa; Arthropoda; Arachnida; Pseudoscorpiones; Chernetidae. The record is from RNAcentral.
CCAUCGGUGGUUCAGUGGUAGAAUGCUCGCCUGCCACGCGGCCGGCCCGGGUUCGAUUCCCGACCAAUACA